Molecule: ribosomal RNA, 463 nt
Filed under: Burkholderia sp. oral taxon 406
Lineage: Bacteria; Pseudomonadati; Pseudomonadota; Betaproteobacteria; Burkholderiales; Burkholderiaceae
Description: bacterial SSU rRNA
Rfam family: Bacterial small subunit ribosomal RNA
Source: RNAcentral
AUUGAACGCUGGCGGCAUGCCUUACACAUGCAAGUCGAACGGCAGCAUGAUCUAGCUUGCUAGAUUGAUGGCGAGUGGCGAACGGGUGAGUAAUACAUCGGAACGUGCCCUGUAGUGGGGGAUAACUAGUCGAAAGAUUAGCUAAUACCGCAUACGACCUGAGGGUGAAAGUGGGGGACCGCAAGGCCUCAUGCUAUAGGAGCGGCCGAUGUCUGAUUAGCUAGUUGGUGAGGUAAAGGCUCACCAAGGCGACGAUCAGUAGCUGGUCUGAGAGGACGAUCAGCCACACUGGGACUGAGACACGGCCCAGACUCCUACGGGAGGCAGCAGUGGGGAAUUUUGGACAAUGGGGGCAACCCUGAUCCAGCAAUGCCGCGUGUGUGAAGAAGGCCUUCGGGUUGUAAAGCACUUUUGUCCGGAAAGAAAUCGCACUUACUAAUAUUAGGUGUGGAUGACGUACCGG